ACCUGGGAUAACACCUUCACCGGGUAAAUUCGCCCCCACUGCUUUUUCUCAACAACCGCCGCACGCAAUCUCCCCUCGUCCUCCUCGCUCUCGCCGCACCGCUCCACUCAUCUGCUCUCCCCCAUUUCUGUGUGAGAACGGCGGCUGAUUGAUUUGCGGUAGCGCCGGCGGCCUCAAGUAGGGCUAUGAGGAGGAAGGAAGACGAUUAGCACGCGGGAAGCAAGAAUAGAUCGGGGCCAGGGCGUGAGGACCACACCGUCAUCACGGCGAGCAAGCCGGCAACCCGUUCGUGUUUCUGAAGCGGUUCGGCAUCAUGGUGGCGCAGACGAAGGCCUUCUUCGAUUCCAGGCCGGCCGCAGCCACGACGUCGACGACAUCCAGAUCAAGCCCGUCAGCUCCGGCAUUUGGAUCGACCGCUGCUCCGGUGCUCCGCCAGAGCACCGACAUCACCGUAUCCAAGUUAUGGCUCAUGUUGCUGUGUAUUUGGCUGCUGGUCAUCGCCACUACCUCAGCAAAGUCACUGGCGACCAAGUGGUUCACACUAUCUCCAAAGCUUUUGAAGCAGCGUACAUGUUACAUGAAUCUGGGGCAAAAUGGUAGAUGGCGUCAUGAGGUUGUAUGCCUGCAGCGCAUGUGUCAGUUAGUGAUGGUUAAUCAAGAUUGAGCAAAGGCUAGGUUCAGGUGUCGCUGUCGUGACCUGCUUGGCAUUACUCUGGUAUAAGUUACGCAGUGGUAACCUUCCUUCUUUUGAUGGUUGUCGACACACAUCUUCAGUCACACAUACACCAUACGAGGUUUUAAAGGAGUUCUUGAUUUUCAGUUUUGGCCCUGAACUUUAGAAUCUCCAUGUCUGAAGUUAGUCCUCAUCCAACUGAGCAAUAUGCAGAGCCUCUGGUACGUGCAGCCGCGCUUCGUCGCCGCCAACGGCCUCGCCGGAAACUGGGUCGUAUCCACAUCCGGACUCAAUCUCUGCCUCGCCCUCCUUGCCGCAAUGUAGCAAAAGUUCAUUGCAAAAUGGGCCACUCCCUCUUGAUGCCCCUCAUGGUGCCAGGCCCCUUCUAAUGUUGAAGUGCUUCUCAGGGACUUGCCAAUCCAAAUUACACCCAUACUAAAAUAGAGUGUUUCCAGAGAGUAGAAACAUCGCAUGCAGAAAUCUUCAAAAAAGACGUGAUUGAAGUUGUAACCGAUGAAAUGCCUGCUGGUGAAGCUAUCAUGGAUCCAACUCACCACCUAAUUGGUGACAAACGUAGGUCCGAUUAAGUAAUCAGCAUGCAUGCAUGAGCUAUUUCAGAGAUACAGUCUGAUAGUAGUAACUUAAUUUGCUUAGAUGCUCACGGAACUGCAGAUAACGGCUCAUUUUUCAGCCCAAUUGUGACAAAUAUCAUAACAUGCCAAAUUAUUUUCCUUUUAGAUUUAUUAUUCCACAGUUUCACACUAUCUAUCAUCAAUAAGUUAAUCAAGAUAAAUUUCACAUACAUGUACUGAACAAACAAAUCUCCGACGACAACCAAUCCUGUGAAACCUGCUGCCUCUAUCUUUUGUGCCGUCUAAGUCUUUCUUGUGUAUUUGAUCACCAAGUUUUUUCCCUAUACCAUGUAUCAUCCGAAGGGGCGACAGAACAAAGUCUCGGAUUCCUCGAGCAACAGAUGUAGUGUUAUCAGUCUCUGAAAAUGUGAAUCCGACUACUCCUAGGCAACAACAGAGGGGUGAUUGGGAUACUGAAAGCCACUGUAUGGAGGCUUAGUGGAGUCAGUCACCAGCCUCUUCGUUGUUUCAACAGCAGCAUCAAGCGGCGCCAAAAACAUGUCAGAUUCUGUCAAAAAAAAAACAUGUCAGUUACUUUCAUCUUGGGCAUAGCCAACCUUAUUGGUGGACUUCCUCACGUUUUUCACAAUAUCACUGAUCUGAGAGACAGCCGAGUCAUGAACGAGGACAAAUCGGAAGGUCGGCCACUACUGACUCAAGCUUGGAUGUGGUCGAAAGCCCGGCUCCACAUGGUUCUACCACUGCUCUCACACAUGGUGUUCGGGCUACUUCCACCAGUGCUCUGCGGGUUGUCGUUCCGUGAGAGUAACGACAGGGAGAACAAGAUGAUGGACGUCGCCAGUGCUUCGCUUGCCUGCAUCGCUCUGCUAGCGCUCGGGAAGGUUAUGGCCACAGAAGAGCCAUGACAUACUUCAAGACUCUCAUUUACUACCUUACCAUCGUUGUGAGCUUCUUCGGGAUGUCAUACAUCACCGGUGUACUGAUCACGAGGCUUCUAUAACACUUGACACCAUUGAUCAAGGUGGUGCAUCGGUUCCUCAUGCUUCUCCAGGCAUGUUGUUCUCUCAUUUAGUUGGUGCACAUACGUCUGCCUAGGCCUCAUUCUGAAGUCUCAAGUUCCUCGGAGCACUGAUGGUAUAAAAAGAGAAGACAUGGGUGAGUUGAAGAGAAAGUGCAUGAAGAGACAUCUAAAUAUUUUUGAGUUGCCACCUGCUAUUUUGUUGUAAUUCUUGUGUACAUUUUAAGAUGCUAACAUUUCAUGUCAAAAUGUGCGAUCUUGGUUACUUGAGUUCGUCUGUAUCGUGGAAUGUUACUAUCAGGUACUCCCUCUGUCUAGAAAUACUCGUCGAAGAAAUGCAUAAAAAUGAAUGUAUCUAGAACUAAAAUACGUCUAGAUACAUCCAUUCCUCCUACAAGUAUUUCAGGACGGAGGGAGUAUUUUAUUUGAGCAGAAAAACAACAAGAUCAGUCUUUCCUUCAUUUUCUGUCUCCUUUUCGUUGGUGGAGAGGGACAUGCGCUGGUUAUUUUGCGUAGGAUUAUCCUAUCUUUUCAGUCCUGUAAUGUCGGUGUUUACGUGGCUUGUAGCUGAAUCCUUAUUUUAUUAAUGAGACACGUCAAGAC
RNAcentral lists this ribosomal RNA (2887 nucleotides) under Triticum aestivum (bread wheat). RNAcentral's name for it is "partial small subunit ribosomal RNA". The stretch from base 2583 to 2707 matches the Rfam family "MIR1120/MIR1122 microRNA precursor family". The record is from RNAcentral. Lineage: Eukaryota; Viridiplantae; Streptophyta; Magnoliopsida; Poales; Poaceae.